UCCGUAGGUGAACCUGCGGAAGGAUCAUUAUUAUUUGGGUCGGGUUUACCUCUUGUCUAGUUUUUUUGUGCUCAAUAAUUCAAGAGGAGGUAAACUUUUACCAAAUAAUCCUAUUUCCAAAUAGGAGCAAGAACCCUUAUAUUUAAAACCCACUCUUAAAAUAUUAUUUUAUGUAUUUUGAAUGAUAAAAAUUAAAGAUCACUUUCAACAACGGAUCUCUUGGCUCUCGCAUCGAUGAAGAACGUAGCGAAGUGCGAUAAGUAAUGUGAAUUGCAGAAUUCCGUGAAUCAUCGAAUCUUUGAACGCAAAUUGCACUUUCUGGUAUUCCGGAAAGUAUGCCUGUUUGAGGGUCAGUUAAAUAAAAAUCGGUGUUGCUGCUACCCGUAGUGGUGUUAAUGCAUCGGAAUUGAGUUGUCUUUUAUCUUUUUGGUUUAAGUGACUUAAAAUUAUGUACGAUUUUUGAACGUAUUUAAAUUAUUUACGUAUGUUCAUAAUAUCAAAUAUUAGGUGCGUUCAUCCUUAUGAUUCACAUCUAUAAUUUUUUCAUUAUUUGACCUCAAAUCAGGUAAGAGUACCCGCUGAACUUAAGCAUAUCAAUAAGCGGAGGAAGUCGACUGCCAAGGGGCACACAGGGGGGGA
This 639-nucleotide ribosomal RNA is filed under the name uncultured fungus. Its description in RNAcentral is "eukaryotic LSU rRNA". The stretch from base 200 to 353 matches the Rfam family "5.8S ribosomal RNA". The record is from RNAcentral. Lineage: Eukaryota; Fungi.